AUCAGUGGUCAUACCUGCUUGACAAUACCCAAACCUGUCUGAUCUCUGAAGCUAAGCAAGGCUGGGCCUGGUUAGUACUAGGAUGGGAGACUGCUUUGAAUACCAGUGUCACACUGUCC
This 119-nucleotide ribosomal RNA is filed under the name Periophthalmus magnuspinnatus. The record is from RNAcentral. Lineage: Eukaryota; Metazoa; Chordata; Actinopteri; Gobiiformes; Gobiidae.